This is an RNA transcript of Phragmites australis (common reed), 1602 nucleotides long. It is a transcript of the gene named alpha-ketoglutarate-dependent dioxygenase alkB, with no coding region annotated. The record is from RefSeq and is a predicted model, not a curated record. The transcript has 8 exons. NCBI's taxonomy places the organism in Eukaryota, Viridiplantae, Streptophyta, Magnoliopsida, Poales, Poaceae.
GGCCAGGAUGGGGUGGCGGCCGCAACCUCCGAAAACCCGAGUACUCGAUCGGGUAGCUUCCGAGCAAAGCGGCGAGGACACGCUCGCGCGCCGCCGGCGAUGUACGGCGCCCCCGACACCGCCGCCGCGGAGCGCACGGCGUUCCGGCGGGCGGAGAAGCAGUACAAGCUCUACAAGCCUCCCAAUCCAAAGGGCAGGUCCAGGUCAAGGAGAAAGCCGACCGGCGGCGAUGGUGGCGGGGGUGGCGACCUGUCCGCGGUGGUCGACUUUCACGCUUUGCUUGCCGCUGACGGGGAGCUGCCAGCCGGGAUCGGGCGGCGCGACUGCGCCGGGUUCGACCGCCCCGUGUUCUGCUUCUUGGACCGGUCGGGAUUUUAUUUCAUUCCCGGUGCUCUAUCUACUGAGGAACAAUGCUAUUGGAUUAGGGAAAGCUUGAAAACAUUUCCACAGCCACCUAAUAGGACUAACUUGACUGCUAUGUACGGUUCGAUUUCUGACUUACUCAUUGCUGCAAAAAAUCAAAAGAUCUUGGUUGAAGUGAAAAAUCCUGAUGACCAAGAAAGAAAUGAACAGAAUAAUAGUGGAGGAAAAACACAAUCCAAAAACUUCAAAUUUGUGGAGGAGUUAGAGAUCCAAAAGGGGGAAGUGUGUAGUUCGACCACAGCAAGUACUCUUGUACGCAAGCUCCGGUGGAGCACCCUUGGUCUGCAGUUUGAUUGGUCAAAACGCAACUAUGAUGUAUCACUUCCACACAACAACAUUCCAGAUCCGCUAGCUAGUCUUGCCAAAAAGAUGGCUAUUCCAGCUAUGCCUUCUGGAGAAGAAUUCAAGCCAGAAGCUGCCAUAGUGAACUAUUAUGGUCCAAGUGACAUGCUUGGUGGCCAUGUUGACGACAUGGAAGCAGAUUGGACAAAACCUAUUGUAAGCAUAAGUUUGGGAAGCAAGUGCAUCUUUCUUCUUGGAGGAAAGACAAGAGAUGAAGUUCCAACAGCAAUGUUCCUGCGAAGCGGUGAUAUUGUAUUGAUGGCUGGGGAAGCACGAGAACACUUCCAUGUUGGACCAAAAUACCCAGAUCUGCCACCCUUCUUUCUCUCCACAGCCUCCUAGAAUCCCAGAUCCGCCACUCCUCUCCCUUCGUUGUCUGGUGAGUGCCCCUUUCCCUCUGACCGGUGAGUCCUCCUCGCCAUCUGAAUGGUGUUGCAAAGCUGCGCAGCAUGUCAUGGUGCCGGCCGCUGUCGGGAGCGCGCCCACAAGCUGCCGGUUGAGGUAAGGGCAUGGAUCCGGGCAAGGCAGAGGCGCGGAGUAGAGGCAGAGGGAGAUGCACCACUAUUGAUGCGCAAGUGAAAGCUUGGACAGCAGUGCAGAACUGGGCGGCACAGCAAGUUUCUCACAACCUUGCCAUCUUCGACAGUACAUGCAUCCCCGUCUUCCAUGAUGGCCGCUGCAGGACUCUGCUGGCAAGGUGUACCACGGAUCUUCACUGAAAGUGACGAGCAAGAAAUCUCUGCAUUGGUUUCACAUUUAUCUGGUAAAGAUGACCAGUUUAUCUUGGACUACAUCAAGAAUUCCAGGAUAAAUAUCAACAUCAGACAGGUCUACUGA